UACAGAGGGUGCGAGCGUUGUCCGGAAUCACUGGGCGUAAAGGGCGCGUAGGUGGCGAGCCAAGUCCAUGGUGAAAGCUCGAUGCUCAACAUCGAGUCGGCCACGGAUACUGGUGCGCUUGAGCACUGUAGAGGCUCAUGGAAUUCCGGGUGUAGCGGUGGAAUGCGUAGAGAUCCGGAAGAACACCGGUGGCGAAGGCGGUGAGCUGGGCAGUUGCUGACACUGAGGCGCGACAGCGUGGGGAGCAAACAGG
RNAcentral lists this ribosomal RNA (253 nucleotides) under uncultured bacterium. RNAcentral's name for it is "partial 16S ribosomal RNA". It matches the Rfam family "Bacterial small subunit ribosomal RNA", at positions 524 to 776 of the family's 1533-position model. The record is from RNAcentral.